GAUGAACGCUGACAGAAUGCUUAACACAUGCAAGUCAACUUGAACUUCGGUUUGGGUGGCGGACGGGUGAGUAACGCGUAAAGAACUUGCCUCACAGAUAGGGACAACAUUUGGAAACGAAUGCUAAUACCUGAUAUUAUGAUUUUAGGGCAUCCUAGGAUUAUGAAAGCUAUAUGCGCUGUGAGAGAGCUUUGCGUCCCAUUAGCUAGUUGGAGAGGUAACGGCUCACCAAGGCGAUGAUGGGUAGCCGGCCUGAGAGGGUGAUCGGCCACAAGGGGACUGAGACACGGCCCUUACUCCUACGGGAGGCAGCAGUGGGGAAUAUUGGACAAUGGACCAAGAGUCUGAUCCAGCAAUUCUGCGUGCACGAUGAAGUUUUUCGGAAUGUAAAGUGCUUUCAGUUGGGAAGAAAAAAAUGACGGUACCAACAGAAGAAGUGACGGCUAAAUACGUG
RNAcentral lists this ribosomal RNA (454 nucleotides) under uncultured bacterium. RNAcentral describes it as "partial 16S ribosomal RNA". It matches the Rfam family "Bacterial small subunit ribosomal RNA", at positions 28 to 507 of the family's 1533-position model. The record is from RNAcentral.